This 77-nucleotide transfer RNA is filed under the name Pyrodictiaceae archaeon. RNAcentral's name for it is "tRNA-Asp". It matches the Rfam family "tRNA". From Rfam's summary of the family: Transfer RNA (tRNA) molecules are approximately 80 nucleotides in length. Their secondary structure includes four short double-helical elements and three loops (D, anti-codon, and T loops). Lineage: Archaea; Thermoproteati; Thermoproteota; Thermoprotei; Desulfurococcales; Pyrodictiaceae. The record is from RNAcentral.
GCCCGGGUGGUGUAGCCCGGCUAUCAUGCGGGCCUGUCGAGCCCGCGACUCGGGUUCAAAUCCCACCCCCCGCACCA